Molecule: ribosomal RNA, 254 nt
Filed under: uncultured bacterium
Lineage: Bacteria
Description: partial 16S ribosomal RNA
Rfam family: Bacterial small subunit ribosomal RNA
Source: RNAcentral
UACGUAGGGUGCGAGCGUUGUCCGGAAUUAUUGGGCGUAAAGAGCUCGUAGGCGGUUUGUCGCGUCUGCUGUGAAAACCUGAGGCUCAACCUCGGGCCUGCAGUGGGUACGGGCAGACUAGAGUGCGGUAGGGGAGAAUGGAAUUCCUGGUGUAGCGGUGGAAUGCGCAGAUAUCAGGAGGAACACCGAUGGCGAAGGCAGUUCUCUGGGCCGUAACUGGACGCUGAGGAGCGAAAGCGUGGGGAGCGAACAGG